This is a long non-coding RNA of Rana temporaria (common frog), 293 nucleotides long. RefSeq lists it as uncharacterized. The record is from RefSeq and is a predicted model, not a curated record. NCBI's taxonomy places the organism in Eukaryota, Metazoa, Chordata, Amphibia, Anura, Ranidae. The transcript has 3 exons.
AUCCAGUAAUGGGAACCCACCAGAGAGAUGUCCCCGUCCUCUGUAUUCCCAGGAUUCCACACAGGAAGAUAACAACUACGCACGCUGUUAUCAGGGUGACAAGCUGAAAUACGUAAAAGUUAUGAUUAAAACGGAAGAAGAAGAGACAUAUGUGACCGGCGAUCACUCAAUGUUAGAGGGUGCUAGGAUGAUGCCAAUUAAAGAGGAGGAAUCUUUCCAUAUCAUGAUGGAGAAUCAGCCGCCCCUCACAUCACCGGAUGGAUCCAGUAAUGGGAACCCACCAGAGAGAUGUC